CCAUUGAAACUUUUGUGAUUUAGGUAAAGAAAAUUUGCAUCACAAACACAGGAUGUAAACGUCUCACUCACGGAAAUGGGUUUGAUGGUGAACAUAUCCGACUAUUUUUAUCCAAAAUCGAAAAGUAUUACGCUCUUCAUUGUAUCAAGAAACAAAUAAACUUUCCUUACACUUUUCUGGUGUGCCAAUUUUGGCAGCCCUUGACAAACUCUGGAUGUGUAACAAACUUGGUUACUUGUGUUUUGCUAAACACCCAGCGGCUUGCAAAUCAGCUGGCCAAACACUCUUAAUUACUAUUGCAUCCCAUGGAGAUCUUCUGCAUCAAAACACUUGGCAGGCAGUCGUUUGGCAGGUAUUGUUUUCAUUGUUGGAUAACGUCAAGAAAUUUUUUCUGGUCAAGCAAGUGAUGUAAAGGUGAACACUUC
Molecule: long non-coding RNA, 425 nt
Organism: Daphnia pulicaria
Lineage: Eukaryota; Metazoa; Arthropoda; Branchiopoda; Diplostraca; Daphniidae
Exons: 4
Source: RefSeq, a predicted model, not a curated record